This 497-nucleotide ribosomal RNA is filed under the name uncultured bacterium. RNAcentral describes it as "partial 16S ribosomal RNA". It matches the Rfam family "Bacterial small subunit ribosomal RNA", at positions 28 to 507 of the family's 1533-position model. The record is from RNAcentral.
GACGAACGCUGGCGGCGUGCCUAAUACAUGCAAGUAGAACGCUGAAGAGAGGAGCUUGCUCUUCUUGGCUGAGUUGCGAACGGGUGAGUAACGCGUAGGUAACCUGCCUUGUAGCGGGGGAUAACUAUUGGAAACGAUAGCUAAUACCGCAUAACAAUGGAUGACACAUGUCAUUUAUUUGAAAGGGGCAAUUGCUCCACUACAAGAUGGACCUGCGUUGUAUUAGCUAGUAGGUGAGGUAAUGGCUCACCUAGGCGACGAUACAUAGCCGACCUGAGAGGGUGAUCGGCCACACUGGGACUGAGACACGGCCCAGACUCCUACGGGAGGCAGCAGUAGGGAAUCUUCGGCAAGAGGGGCAACCCUGACCGAGCAACGCCGCGUGAGUGAAGAAGGUUGUCGGAUCGUAAAGCUCUGUUGUAAGUCAAGAACGGGUGUGAGAGUGGAAAGUUCACACUGUGACGGUAGCUUACCAGAAAGGGACGGCUAACUACGUG